GAUGAACGCUGGCGGCGUGCCUAAUACAUGCAAGUCGAGCGAACGGACGAGAAGCUUGCUUCUCUGAUGUUAGCGGCGGACGGGUGAGUAACACGUGGAUAACCUACCUAUAAGACUGGGAUAACUUCGGGAAACCGUAGCUAAUACCGGAUAAUAUUUUGAACCGCAUGGUUCAAAAGUGAAAGACGGUCUUGCUGUCACUUAUAGAUGGAUCCGCGCUGCAUUAGCUAGUUGGUAAGGUAACGGCUUACCAAGGCAACGAUGCAUAGCCGACCUGAGAGGGGGCGAGGCCAAGCGGGAAAGAGGAACGGGUCCAAACACGAAGGGGAGGACGAGGGGGGAAAUUUUCGGGAAGGGGGAAAAGCGUAACGGAGAAACGCCGGGGGAGUGAGGAAGGUCUUGGGAGCGUAAACCUUUUUUUUGGGGGAAGAAAAAAUGUGUAAGAAACGGGGCAACUUUGGACGGUACCAAAGCAAAAAGCCACGGCUAACUCGGG
This 496-nucleotide ribosomal RNA is filed under the name uncultured bacterium. Its description in RNAcentral is "partial 16S ribosomal RNA". It matches the Rfam family "Bacterial small subunit ribosomal RNA", at positions 28 to 506 of the family's 1533-position model. The record is from RNAcentral.